RNAcentral lists this ribosomal RNA (537 nucleotides) under uncultured bacterium. RNAcentral describes it as "bacterial SSU rRNA". It matches the Rfam family "Bacterial small subunit ribosomal RNA", at positions 28 to 560 of the family's 1533-position model. The record is from RNAcentral.
GUUGAACGCUGGCGGCAUGCCUAACACAUGCAAGUCGAACGGCAGCACGGGCUUCGGCCUGGUGGCGAGUGGCGGACGGGUGAGGAAUACAUAGGAAUCUACCCAGUCGUGGGGGAUAACGUAGGGAAAGCUUACGCUAAUACCGCAUACGACGGUGACGUGAAAGCGGGGGACCGCAAGGCCUCACGCGAUUGGAUGAGCCUAUGUCCGAUUAGCUAGUUGGCGGGGUAAGAGCCCACCAAGGCGACGAUCGGUAGCUGGUCUGAGAGGAUGAUCAGCCACACUGGAACUGAGACACGGUCCAGACUCCUACGGGAGGCAGCAGUGGGGAAUAUUGACAAUGGGCGCAAGCCUGAUCCAGCAAUGCCGCGUGGGUGAAGAAGGCCUUCGGGUUGUAAGCCCUUUUCGUACGGGAAGAAAAGCUUCAGGUUAAUNCCCUGAGGUCAUGACGGUACCGUAAGAAUAAGCACCGGCUAACUUCGUGCCAGCAGCCGCGGUAAUACGAAGGGUGCAAGCGUUAAUCGGAAUUACUGGGCG